GGUGGCUCAGUGGUAGAGUGCUUGCCUUGCAUGCAUGAGACCCUGGGUUCAAUUCCUGAGCACCA
RNAcentral lists this transfer RNA (65 nucleotides) under Dipodomys ordii (Ord's kangaroo rat). It matches the Rfam family "tRNA". From Rfam's summary of the family: Transfer RNA (tRNA) molecules are approximately 80 nucleotides in length. Their secondary structure includes four short double-helical elements and three loops (D, anti-codon, and T loops). Lineage: Eukaryota; Metazoa; Chordata; Mammalia; Rodentia; Heteromyidae. The record is from Rfam by way of RNAcentral.